This is a non-coding RNA of Cinara cedri, 249 nucleotides long. NCBI's taxonomy places the organism in Eukaryota, Metazoa, Arthropoda, Insecta, Hemiptera, Aphididae. The record is from the annotation of a GenBank genome assembly.
GGCCCACUUACAAACAUAAAUCAUAAUCAUAAAUCAUCUAAGAAAACACAAAAUUGAAAAAGGUAAUUUAAGGAAAUGGGAGUAAAACAACGUGUUUAAAUCAAGGUUCUAUAUGAGAAUGGCCCAAUAGGGCACCCCAUUCCCAGCACCCCGGGAGCCCAAUAAGCGUUUGUCCGGUACAGUAUCAAAGUAAUAGUAAAGGUAUCGUAAUGAAUAAAAAUAAUCAUAUCGAUAAUAUCAAUGUUUUUG